Oncorhynchus gorbuscha (pink salmon) is the source of this 2157-nucleotide RNA transcript. It is a transcript of the gene named lactase-like protein, with no coding region annotated. The transcript is spliced from 15 exons. Lineage: Eukaryota; Metazoa; Chordata; Actinopteri; Salmoniformes; Salmonidae. The record is from RefSeq and is a predicted model, not a curated record.
GCAGGGACAGAAGGAAUAGACAGAGAGACAGGGACAGAGAUAGCUACCUAGAUACACUGUAGUUAGGCUGUGGAAGGGGGCAUAUUUUUGGUCUAUAUCUACAUUUUCACUCACUUUUCUAAAUGAGACACUGAAGGAUGUUGAUGAUCAGUUUCUAGACCUGGGUACCUCUGCAGAGAUGUUUUCCCGUGUGAGUUCAUUAGGAUGCUUUUACCCACAGGCGUGGGAUACCUGUCACCUCUGUCUGUGACCGGAGACAGUGAGCCACCUGUGAGAGAUCAACACCAUGUCCCUACAGCGGAUGCUGAAGCUGCUCUAUGCGCUGGUGCUGUGUGUGUCCGCCAACGAAGACUUCGACUGGACCAAGAAUGAACGCGGAUCAUUCUACUAUGGCACCUUCCCAACUGGGUUUUCCUGGGGGGCUGGGGGCUCUGCGUACCAGACAGAAGGAGCCUGGGACAAGGAUGGCAAAGGGAUGAGCAUCUGGGACGUGUUCGCCCACAAGAAGGGAAAGAUCUUCCUCAACGACACCGCAGACCACUCCUGCGAAGGAUACUACAAGUUCAAGGAUGACAUCACCUUGAUGAAGGACAUGAAGUUUAACCACUACCGUUUCUCCAUCUCCUGGUCAAGGAUAUUUCCCAACGGAAUCAAAGCUGAUCACAUCAAUGAGAAGGGAAUUAAAUACUAUGAUGACCUGAUCAACAUGCUCCUGGACAAUAACAUCACACCAAUAGUCACCCUGUACCACUGGGAUCUGCCACAGGUCUUACAGGAGAAGUACGGUGGAUGGCAGAACGCCAGCAUGGUGAACUAUUUCAACGACUUUGCCAACUUAUGCUUUGAGCGGUUUGGUGACAGAGUCAAAUACUGGAUCACCUUCAACAACCCCUGGUCUAGUGCUGUGGAGGGCUAUGAGACUGGAGAACAUGCACCUGGACUGAAGCUGAGGGGCACUGGGGCCUACAAAGCUGCCCACCACAUUAUCAAGGCACAUGCUAAGGUUUGGCACACCUAUGACACUCAAUGGAGAAGCAAACAGAAAGGCUUGGUUGGGAUCUCGUUGUUGGCAGACUGGGGGGAGCCAGUGGACAUCACCAACCAGAGAGACAUCGAGGCAGCAGAGAGAUAUGUCCAGUUCUACAUGGGCUGGUUCGCUACACCCAUCUUCAACGGGGACUACCCUCAGGUCAUGAAAGACUACAUAGGUAGGAAGAGUGCCCAGCAGGGUCUAGGAACCUCCCGUCUCCCCGUCUUCUCUUCCCAGGAGAAGAGUUACAUCAAGGGCACCUGUGACUUCCUGGGUAUUGGCCACUUCACCACCCGCUAUAUCACCCAGAAGAACUACCCGUCUGGCCGUGGGAACAGCUACUUCACCGACCGUGACCUGGUGGAGCUGGUGGACCCUCGCUGGCCCGACCCCGGUUCCGAGUGGCUCUACUCUGUCCCCUGGGGAUUCAGACGCCUGCUCAACUUCGUCAAGACCCAGUAUGGGAACCCCAUGAUCUACGUGACAGAGAACGGAGUGUCGGAGAAGGUGCAGAGGUGCACAGACCUGUGUGAUGAAUGGAGGAUGCAGUACUUCAAGGAUUACAUCAAUGAGAUGCUCAAGGCCCUUAAGGACGGCGUGAACGUGAAGGGUUACACAGCCUGGUCGCUGCUGGACAAGUUUGAGUGGGACGAAGGCUUCUCUGAGAGGUUUGGCCUGUUCUACGUGGACUUCCUCAACAAGAAUAAACCACGUUACCCAAAAGCCUCUGUUCAGUACUACAAACGCAUCAUCAGCUCCAAUGGAUUCCCCAACCAGAGAGAGGUGGAGAGCUGGAGAAGGAAAGCCACAGAGACGUGCUCCUCCAGUAACCAGCUGCUAGCUGCAGAUCCGUUGACCAGCCACAUGGAGAUGGUAACAGAGAUCGUGGUUCCUACAGUGUGUACUCUCUGUAUUCUCCUGGCUGCUGUCUUCCUCAUGUUCCUGCUGCGUAGACGCUUCUAGAACACUGCUGUCUUCCUCAUGUUCCUGCUGCGUGGACGCUUCUAGAACACUGCUGUCUUCCUCAUGUUCCUGCUGCGUGGACGCUUCUAGAACACUGCUGUCUUCCUCAUGUUCCUGCUGCGUGGACGCUUCUAGAACACUGCUCUCUUCCUCAUGUUCCUGCU